UACAGAGGGUGCGAGCGUUGUUCGGAAUUACUGGGCGUAAAGCGCGCGCAGGCGGCCCUUUAAGUCUACCCGUGAAAUGCCGGAGCUCAACUCCGUGCACGCCGGGGGAUACUGGGGGGCUGGAGACAUGUAGAGGCAAGCGGAAUUCCGGGUGUAGCGGUGGAAUGCGUAGAUAUCGGGAGGAACACCAGUGGCGAAGGCGACUACCUGGCCUGUUCUUGACGCUGAGGCGCGAAAGCUAGGGGAGCAAACGGG
RNAcentral lists this ribosomal RNA (255 nucleotides) under uncultured bacterium. Its description in RNAcentral is "partial 16S ribosomal RNA". It matches the Rfam family "Bacterial small subunit ribosomal RNA", at positions 524 to 776 of the family's 1533-position model. The record is from RNAcentral.